Molecule: ribosomal RNA, 253 nt
Filed under: uncultured bacterium
Lineage: Bacteria
Description: partial 16S ribosomal RNA
Rfam family: Bacterial small subunit ribosomal RNA
Source: RNAcentral
UACGGAGGGUGCGAGCGUUGCUCGGAAUCACUGGGCGUAAAGCGUACGCAGGCUGUCUCGUAAGUCGGGUGUGAAAGCCCGGGGCUCAACCCCGGAAUUGCGCCCGAGACUGCGGGGCUUGAAUGCGGGAGAGGGAAGCGGAAUUCCUGGUGUAGAGGUGAAAUUCGUAGAUAUCAGGAGGAACACCGGUGGCGAAAGCGGCUUCCUGGCCCGACAUUGACGCUCAGGUACGAAAGCGUGGGGAGCAAACAGG